UGCAACUUAGUUUAAUUAGAACAGUUAAUUUGCAUUUAACAAGUGAAAAUAUUCAGUAGCA
RNAcentral lists this transfer RNA (61 nucleotides) under Glossiphonia complanata. RNAcentral describes it as "tRNA-Ala". Lineage: Eukaryota; Metazoa; Annelida; Clitellata; Rhynchobdellida; Glossiphoniidae. The record is from RNAcentral. RNAcentral also lists the same sequence under 1 other name.